Molecule: ribosomal RNA, 468 nt
Filed under: uncultured bacterium
Lineage: Bacteria
Description: partial 16S ribosomal RNA
Rfam family: Bacterial small subunit ribosomal RNA
Source: RNAcentral
GGCGAACGCUGGCGGCGUGCUUAACACAUGCAAGUCGAACGGAAAGGCCCUGCUUUUGUGGGGUGCUCGAGUGGCGAACGGGUGAGUAACACGUGAGUAACCUGCCCUUGACUUUUGGAUAACUUCAGGAAACUGUGGCUAAUACCGGAUAUGAGCUCCUGCUGCAUGGUGGGGGUUGGAAAGUUUCGGCGGUUGGGGAUGGACUCGCGGCUUAUCUGCUUGUUGGUGGGGUAGUGGCUUACCAAGGCUUUGACGGGUAGCCGGCCUGGGAGGGUGACCGGCAACAUUGGGACUGAGAUACGGCCCGGACUCCUAGGGGGGGAAGAAGUGGGGAAUAUUGCACAAUGGGCGGAGGCCUGAGGCAGCAAGGCGGCGUGCGGGAUGAGGGCCUUCGGGUUGUAAACCGCUUUCGCCUGUGACGAAGCGGGAGUGACGGUAAUGGGUAAAGAAGCACCGGCUAACUACGUG